This 610-nucleotide ribosomal RNA is filed under the name uncultured bacterium. RNAcentral's name for it is "bacterial SSU rRNA". It matches the Rfam family "Bacterial small subunit ribosomal RNA", at positions 139 to 736 of the family's 1533-position model. The record is from RNAcentral.
GGGGAUAACAUUUGGAAACAAGUGCUAAUACCGUAUAACACUAACAACCGCAUGGUUGUUAGUUCCCAGAUGGUUCUGCUAUCACUAAGAGAUGGACCCGCGGUGCAUUAGCUAGUUGGUAAGGUAAUGGCUUACCAAGGCGAUGAUGCGUAGCCGAGUUGAGAGACUGAUCGGCCACAAUGGGACUGAGACACGGCCCAUACUCCUACGGGAGGCAGCAGUAGGGAAUCUUCCACAAUGGGCGCAAGCCUGAUGGAGCAACGCCGCGUGUGUGAUGAAGGGUUUCGGCUCGUAAAACACUGUUAUAAGAGAAGAACGACAUUGAGAGUAACUGUUCAGUGUGUGACGGUAUCUUAUCAGAAAGGAACGGCUAAAUACGUGCCAGCAGCCGCGGUAAUACGUAUGUUCCAAGCGUUAUCCGGAUUUAUUGGGCGUAAAGCGAGCGCAGACGGUUAUUUAAGUCUGAAGUGAAAGCCCUCAGCUCAACUGAGGAAGGGCUUUGGAAACUGGAUAACUUGAGUGCAGUAGAGGAAAGUGGAACUCCAUGUGUAGCGGUGAAAUGCGUAGAUAUAUGGAAGAACACCGGUGGCGAAAGCGGCUUUCUGGACUG